Molecule: long non-coding RNA, 9195 nt
Filed under: Homo sapiens (human)
Lineage: Eukaryota; Metazoa; Chordata; Mammalia; Primates; Hominidae
Description: HSALNT0064489
Source: RNAcentral
AUUGUGCCACCGCACUCCAGCCUGGGCGACAGAGCGAGACUCCGUCUCAAUAAAAAACAAACAAACAAACAAACAAACAAAAACCAUGAAUGUUAACCUUAGAUGACAAAAUCAAGGGCUUUGCAGAUGUGAUAAAGUUAAAGAUCUUGAGAUGAGAGGAUUAUCCUGCAUUACCUGGGUGGGCCCAAAGUGCCAUCACAUACAUCCCCUUAUAAAAGGGAGGCAAGGAAGAUGUGAGCAGACAGAAGAGGAGAAGGCAAUGUGACCACAGAAAAAGAGAAUGGAGUGAUGUGGCCACAAGCCAAGGAUUGCAGCAGCUACCAGAAGCUGGAAGAGACAAGAAACGGAUUCUACCCAGGGGCCUCUAGAGCAGGGGUCCCCAAACCCCAGGGCCACACAGCAGGAGGUGAGCAGCGGGCCAGGGAGUGAAGCUUCAUCUGUAUUUACAGCUGCUCCUAUUGCUCGCAUUAAGGCCUAAGCUCCGCCCCCUGUCAUAUCAGCGGAAGUAUUAGAUACUCAUAGGAGGCGAACCUUAUUGUGAACUGCGCAUGUGAUUUACACACUCCUUAUGAGAAUCUAAUGCCUGAUGAUUUGUCACUGUCUCCCAUCACCAUAUGGGACCAUCUAGUUGCCGGAAAACAAACUCAGGGCUCCCACUGAUUCUACAUUAUGGUGAGUUGUGUAAUUAUUUCAUUACAUAUUACAAUAUAAUAACAAUAGAAGUCAAGUGCUCAAUAAAUGUAAUGUGCUUGAAUCAUCCUGAAACCAUCCCCCCACCCCCAGUCUGUGGAGAAAUUGUCUUCCAGGAACCUGGUCCCUGGUGGCAAAAAGGUUGGGGAGUGCUGCUCUAGAGGAUGUACAGCCAUGUUGGCAUCUUGAUCUCAGCUCCGUGAAAGUGACUUUGGACUUCUAGCAUUCAGAAGCAUGAGAUAAUAUAUUUCUGUUGUUUUAAGCCAUCAGGUUUGUGUUCAUUUGUUACAGCAGCGAUAGAAAACUAAUACAGCUUCUGGCUGGGCACAGUGGCUCACUCCUGUAAUCCCAGCACUUUGGGAGGCUAAGGCAGAUGGAUCAUCAAGGUCAGGAGUUUGAGACCAGCCUGGUCAACAUGGUGAAACUCUGUCUCUACUAAAUACAAAAAUUAGCCCGGUGUGGUAGCAUGCACCUGUAGUCCCAGGUACUCGGGAGGCUAAGGCAGGAGAAUUGCUUGAUCCCGGGUUGCAGUGAGCUGAGAUUGUGCCACUGCCCUCCAGCCUGGGACAGAGCAAGACUCCAUCUCACCAAAAAAAAAAAAAAAAAAAAAAAAAGAAAGAAAGAAAGAAAAAACUAAUACAGCUUCCUUCAGGCAGCCUCUGCUGACUUCUCAAUUUGGGUUGGGUGCCUUUCCUACAAAUUGUUUUAAAGAGAUGGAAUCUCACUCUUACUCUGUCACCCAGGCUGGAGUGCAAUGGUUCAAUCAUAGCUCAGUGCAGCCUUGAAUUCCUGGGCUCAGCGGAUCCUCUCUCCACAGCCACCUGAGUAGCUGGAAAUACAGGUGCAUGCCACCACGCCCAGCUAAUUUCUUAAAAAGAAAUUUUUUUAGAGACAAGGCACACUAUGUUGCCCAGGCUGGUCUCAAACUCCUGGCCUCAAGCAAUUCUUCCACCCCUGCCUCCCAAGUUGCUGGGACUGUAGGAGUGAGCCACUGCACCCGGUCAUUUCUUACAUAUUUUGACAGCACCCAGUACUAAUAGCACUGCAUAAAAACUUCUUGUUUCAAGGUCUUUUUUUCUCUGCUGUUAGUUCUGAAAACGUAGGGAGAGAGCUUCUUAUUAUAAGAAUAGGCUUUAGCAUUGUGUUUGGCACAUGGGAAGUAGUUAUUAAAUAACUGAGAAAUUUAAAUGUGUGGACUCAAACUUUCAAUAUUUAAAAAUUGACAUCUCAGUUUUCUAGAAGGGGUGUGGUGUGUGCAUCUCAUUUAUUAAAAGUAAUGGCCAAAACCACAAUUACUUUUACACCAUCCUAAUAUUUCAAGGCCCAAAUCCCAAAGUUUCCCAAACAAGCUGCCACUUAGAAAAAAAGCAAACAAAACCUUCUGUUGGAAAUUAGCCUGUUUUUAUUGGAGAACUGACAUUUGGGAAAUAAUUUUAUAUUAAAAAAUUCUGAGGCCAGGCGCAGUGGCUCAUGCCUGUAAUCCCAGCACUUUGGGAGGCCGAGGCAGGUGGAUCACUAGAGGUCAGGAGUUCGAAACCAGCCUGGCCAAUGUGGUGAAACCCCGUCUCUACUAAAAAUACAAAAAUUAGCCGGGUGUGGGGGUGUGCGCCUGUAAUCCCAGCUACUCAGGAGGCUGAGGCAGGAGAAUCGCUUGAACCCGGGAGGCAGAGAUUGCAGUGAGCUGAGAUCACGCCACUGCGCUCCACCCUGGGAGACAAGAGCAAAACUGCAUCUCAAAAAAAAAAAAAAAAAAAAUUCUGAAGGUGUAAAGAAGUAAACCUCUAAGUUUGAGUAGUAAAACUGUACAUACACUAGGCUUAUUUAAAGUCUUUAUUGUUGUUGUUGUCGUCGAGUUGGGGUCUCACUCUGUCACCCAGUCUGGAGUGCAGUGGCGCCAUCACUGCUCACUGUAGCCUCAACCUCCCCAGGCUCAGGUGAGCCUCCCACCGCAGCCUGCUAAGUAGCUGGGACUACAGGUGCACACCACCAUGCCCGAUUAAUUUUUUGAAUUUUUAGUAGAGACAGAGUUUUGCCAUAUGGCCCAUGCUGGUCUCAAACUCCUGGCUUCAAGUGAUCCACCUGCCUCGGCCUCCCAAGGGGCUAGGAUUACAGAAAUGAGCCACCAUGCCCAGCCUAAAAUCUGUUAUCUCCUUUGUGGUUUUCAAAUUGGUCUCUCUAUCUCAUUCUGCCUUUCUUAUCUCAUCGCCAGAAGGGUAAAGUUCCACCUCAAUAGAGGGACAAUCACUCUAAAGCUUAGCCCUGUCUGCUUUCCUAUCUCCCACUACUCACCAGCACAGAAACUUCUCUGCUGCUAACCAGAAGUAGUGACUGUCCCAGGGCACAAUGUGGUGUUUUGUUUCAUUCUGUUUUGCUGCUCAGUCUUUUUCACCUGCCACUUUUUCUACUUUCAAGGCUAUUUUCUCUCAUCUCUGCUUACCCAUACUCUUCAUCCUUCAAGGACCUGAUCAAAUGCCACUUUUAUACCACUCCAAUGCUGAGUAAUUUAUCAGAAACCUGACAGCACUGAACUGUACUGCAUAUUUUUAUGUCACUAAACGGUGGGAAUCUUUUCAUGUGUGAAUUCCAUAUUCUCAUUUGGCAUAGAGAUGAAGGUUAAAAGUUUGUGCUAUCAUGUUGCUUAAGAUAGAUGUUCAUUAAAUACUGUAUGAUAAAUUAGUAACACACAGCAACCACUUGAACAGUCUGAGAUUAUUUGCUGAGUGCUCAAUAGCUAAACAAAGCAUGUUCUACAGUAGUAUUGUUUGACUAAAAUGUUGAAUAGUUGGUCUCACAGGAUGCAGCAUCCACAUUCUGAGUAAAUGAGAUUUCCUUCGCAUUACAGUUUUUUAAAUUAAUAUAAGCUGAGUCUGACAUUGAGUUUACUUAAUAAAAUGAUUUUAUGUCCAAGUGCAGUGGCUCACACUUAUAAUCCCAGCACCUUGGCAGGCUGAUCCCUUGAGCCCAAGCGUUCUAAACCAGCCUGGGCAACACGGUGAACCUCCGUCUCUACUAAGAUUACAACAUUUAGCUGUGAGUGGUAGUACAUGCCUGUGGUCCCAGCUACUCGGGAGGCUGAGGUGAGAGAAUCACCCGAGCCAGAGAAGUCAAGGGUGCAGUGAUUGCACAACUGCACUCCAGCCUGGGUGACAGAGGCUCAAAAAAAAAUGUUUUUGUAACAAAAUGACCAUAUGUAAGAUAAAAUACAACUCAGACGUUAUGAAAUGUGACAACAUAGUUUUAUCUUUGUCUGGUUGAGGCCAUAGAGUCCAGACUGCCCUUUGUGGUGUGACUUUGAAUUCACUGAAGGAAGUGGAAGUUAUCACUCUUAAUCAUCAUGGGAAGAGGUUGGUAUGUUGGUGUUAUGUUCACUCAGCUCCACCAUAAAGGACAAUGCAGAGCGAUAAGAUGCAAAGAAUGUGGGGUUCUUGAAUGAACUCCUGGAAAAGAGCUACCUCACCAGCUUAGGCCUGCUAAGCUGCUACACGAGAGAGGAAUAGAAGUCAGUCUUUUUUUUUUUUUUUUUUUUUUUUUGAGAUGGAGUCUGGCUCUGUUGCCCAGGCCAGAGUGCAAUGGCGCAAUCGUGGCUCAUUGUAACCUCUGUCACCCAGGUUCAAGUGAUUCUCCCGCCUCAGCCUCCCGAGUAGCUGGGAUUACAGGCACCUGUCAUCAUGCCCGGCUAAUUUUUGUAUUUUUAGUAGUGACGGCGUUUCAUCAUGUUGGUCAGGCUGGUCUUGAACUCCUAACCUCAGGUGAUCCGCCCCCCACCUCAGCCUCUCAAUGUGUUGGGAUUACAGGUGUAAGCCACUGCACCUGGCCUUUUUUUUUUUUUUAAAGACUGAGUCUUGCUCUGUUGCUUAGGCUGAAGUGCAGUGGCAUGAUCUCGGCUAGAAUCCAGUAGCUAGGAUUACAGGCGGCGCUACUACACCCGACUAAUUUUUGCAUUUUUAGUAGAGACGUAGUUUCGUCAUGUUGGCCAGGCUGGUCUCAAACUCCUGACCCCAAGUGAUCCGCCUGCCAAAGUGAAUCUUUUUGAAGUCAUAUAUUUUUGGUGUUUUUGCUUUAGAAAUGUAAUUAUUAUUCCAGCUAAUAUAGAUAUUGGUACCUAACAUUAUAAAAACCUUACCUGUGUGGCAUUGCUCGAGAUAUUGACAAUUAAAAAAUAGAUGUUGCAGAUAUUGGAAAGCUGAUGAAGCUUAUAAUGUCAAGGCAAUAUUUGGUAAAAUUGUCAUCUGCAAUUACUUGGAAAGAAGGCCACAUACCUGAUUGUGAGCCCUAGAGAAAGCAGUCAAAAAGCCAGAAUAUUUGUAUGUUGGCUGCUCUUUGCUGCUUUUCAUGGGUUAUUAUAACAAAGAAAUGAGCCCAGGCAAAAACCGACCAAUUUGCAAGAAUAGCUGGAAGAAAGGAGAACCACAUGGUUCAACUACUCUGAAUCCCGCGAAGGUGGGAGAUAAGGUGUUUCUAAGAGUGUUCUUCAGUGUCCUCUCAUCAAAAGAUUCCCAAUCAAACCGGGGAGUUAGAUUCAGCAACAAAGAUCAGAUUGAGCCUGUUGUGUCAGAUAGCCUCAAGGGAAUUGCCUGUGAAGUGGGAAGAGAGUGAUGGUUAAACUCUGAAGCCAGAAAAUAAGGAGAGUUUAAGAAAUAUGACCAGUAAAGAUACUGUGGGUUGUAAUUGACACAUUAAAUCAGACCUGAAUCCAAUAGACCAGAAACUACCACGUAUUUGGGUAAAUGUUAUUGCCAAGCAAACCACAUAUCUGUUAUUGUUCAACCUAAUACAAUCCUCAGGCUUGUAAAACUGCACUAGUAGGAAGCAGUGUGAAAGGAGCUGGGCAUCCCUGAAGGAAGGCAUAAGGAAGGAAUGUUUUCAGACUCAGAUGAGGGCACGGAGAACAAGGGGCAAGGCAGAACCACUCCAAGGUAAAGCCACAGUCUUAGGUGACAGUAGACAAGGAACUUCCUCCCAGAACCCAGAACCAAAUACUAACCCCAAGAAAAGUACUCCACAUAUGGGGCAAGGCCCUUUGCAAUGACUGGUGGCAAAACUCCAUCACUAAUGACCAGCGGCUGAUGCGUAUUUUGUUUCUUCUGUUUUCUGAGAAGGAAUUUCUACUGUGUGUAUCCAGUCCCAUCCACCGAUGUUUAUUGAAGAUAUGGGUACAGGGACGAGUGGAGGCAGGGGAAGAAUCGGGGAGGGGAUGGGCUGGUGACUUGUUCACUGGGAGACACAUCCAGAUUUGGUGCAGGUGGCUGCAUAUUGCCCAGAUAUUUUGGACUUUAAGUUGGGUGCAAUAGCUGGAUAGGACCCUGGGCUAUCUUUUUUAGGGGAGAGGUUGAAUGUGUUCUGUGUGAGGGAUAGAAAGGGUAUGCACAGUACAGUUAUUUGAGUGAUCAGUGUGUGUUAGGAAAUUGCUUAUUCUCCAGCUUUCUUUCCUGCUGGAUGUGGACUUAUGACAAAUUUUGGCAAAUAAGAAGUGAGCCAGGCCAGGCUCAGUGGCUGAGGCCCGUAAUCCCUGUGCUUUGGGAGGCUGAGGUGGGUGGAUUGCUUGAGCUCAGGAGUUCGAUACCAGCCUGGGCAACAUGAAGAAACCCUGUCUCUACAAAAAAUAAAAAAGAUUAGCUGGGUGUGGUGGCACAUGCCUGUAAUCCCAGCUACUUGAGAAGCUGAGGUGGGAGGAUUGCUUGAACCCAGGGGGUGGAGGUUGCAGUGAGCCAAGAUUGUGCCACUGCUCUCCAGCCGGGCAACAGAGUAAGACUCUGUCUCAAAAAAGAAAAAGAAAAGAGCCAAACUGAUAUGUAUACUAUGUAUACCACUGAGGUACUUCCUAAUUAAAAGACAAAUAUCUGUCCCUGGAUUUUGGCUGUAAUAUGGAUGUCAUGACAAUUUAGCUGUAACAACGUAGGUGAGGACAACAUCCUUGGGGACGGUGAAGCAAUGAGAAAGAAGCUAUGUCCCUGACCUGUGUAAGUUCCUCCAGCUCAUACUGGCCAUAUUAUUCUGUAAGCCAGAACUUUCUAUCUUAUUUAAGUCACUGUAUUUUGGGGACUCUUUGUUACAGCAGCUUGAUCUUUCUCCCAGUUCAAGAUACCUCUUACUGGCUUCCUGUAUAAAUGUUACAUUGACUGAACACAUGAAAACUGUUCUGGAUUGCACAAGGCUAGUUUUUUUACUGUGCUAAAGAGUUAGAUGUCUCAGUUGAUUAAGACAUGGACAAUUUUCUUGUAAUGUUACCUGAGUGACAACUGCCACAGUUAUAGAAAAUUGGUGAUCAUUCUUGGACAUGACUUUGGGAGUGUUGGGGUAAAAGAGAGUGUUGAAGUGGUAAAGCCCCUGUAAUCACCCUUGCCAUGAUUCUCAUGUCUGGGCCCUAUCUUAAAAUAAUAAUAAUAAUAGUAAUAAUACAUCACUUAAAUCCUGCAUAUGCUGGCUCUCUCUUUGGUUAAAGUCCUCUCACAAAUGUCUAUACUGUCCUUAUUUGCAAGGAGAUGUCCCAGUAAGGAAAUCAUAGGGAAGUAAGUGGGAUCUAUGAAAACACUUCCUGUUAGAGGUGGAACAGAUCCUGCGGGUAUCCCUGUGGGUCUGAAGCAAUUUCAGUCCUUGCCUCCUCAGAAGAAAGAACUCGACUGAGGGGCAUAAGGCAGAAAAAGAGACUGAGGCAAGUUUCAGAGCAGGAGUGGAGGUUUAUUUAAAAAGGCUUUAGAACAGGAAAGAAAGGAAAAUUCACUUGGAAGAGACCCAAGCCAGUGCGUGAAGGUCCGAGAGAGAGGAGAAGAGAUUAAAAAAGAGGCCUUUAACCUUGAUCCUAGGGCUUCACAAGCUGGCUUCUUUCCCUUGGUUCUUCUCCUAGGGUGGGCUUCCCGCAUGCGCAGGCGUUCCUUACAUUUUUGGUAAGGAAACUGAGCAUGUGCAGUGUGCUUAGGCAGUUACACACAUGCCCAUCUGAGACUUUUUUCCUUUUUCCGGUGGUGGGUGCCCCAGAACAUCAUACUUCACCAUUUUGUCUCUUAACAUGAAUGCCCAAGAAACUGCUUCUCCCUGGGGCCUGCAUUCAAUUCACACGUUUAAUGUUAACGGGUGUGGAUGAUCAGGAGAUUGCCUCUCCCUUGCUGCUGAAUUACCGUUUUUAGAGAGGCACUGCGAUCAUUGCAAACCAUCCCCCUACAUUCCUAGUGGAUUGGGGGAGAGCCCUCGCCUGACCCACUCAUGCCUGUCUAUCUAUCUAUAAUAUUCCCAGUUUCACUUCUCCUCUUCCUCUGAGUGCCUCUAGCACCUUAUUCUUACUUUUGUUCUUAAGUAUGAGAAUAUGACAAUAGUGAAACUUCCUUUGCAAAAAUUGUAACAAUGAGAAUAUUAUGAUAGUGAAAGAGAUCUAAUCUAACAAACCCCCAUCUUGCCUUUAACCUCCAAACUGCGUUUAAUUAUUCCUGGGCUUGGGCCACGCUAACUUUGGGAGACAUUUAUAGUUUAAAUGAUAAUAGCACUUCCCCCAAAUUAAACUGCCUUCGUAAGGCUAAUAAAAGACUACCAGCCAGGUUGGGAGCAGGAGUGGAGCUUGAAUCCUGCUAAGGCGUCAAUGUCAUAAGAUUUGCAACUUUCCCAAUUACUCCUGCAGAUAACAUCACUAUUGUAGAACCUAAGAUUGGCCUUUUGAGAUGUCUUUUUGGGUUUUUGCAUUUCUGAUGACCAAUGGCUCCACCCAGACCUGCCAACUGGUCCUGUGUCCCCACCCAGCAGAGGACUCACAUCCCUGUGAUUGCAUCCCCAACCAACCAGCAGCACCCAUUCCGUGGCUGGCCAAAAUGUCCUUGAAAAUCCUAGGCCAGGCUUGGUGGCUCACACCUGUAAUCCUAGCAAGGCUGAAGUGGGUGGGUCACUGGAGCCCAGGAGUUUGAGAUCAGCCUGGGCAACAUGGUGAUACCCCAUCUCUACAAAAAUACUAAAAAUUAGCUGGGUGUGGUGGCUGUAGUCCCAGCCACUUGGGAGGCUGAAGUGGGAGGGUCACCUGAGCCCAGGGAAGUUGAGGCUGCAGUGAGCCAUGAUCAUGCCACUAUACUUCAGCCAGGGUGCUCUCACUCCAGAGUGAGACCUCGUCUCAAAAAACAAACAAACAAACAACAAAAACAAAACAAAAAUAAGAAGAAGAAGCAAAAAAAGAAAAACCCUAGCCUCUGAAUUUUCAAGGGAGGCUUAUUUGAGUAAUGGUAAAACUCCAGUCUCCCAUUCAGCCAGCUCUGCAUGAAUUAAACUCUUUCUCUAUUGCAAUUCCUCUGUCUUAAUAAAUUGGCCCAGAUAGGGCCAGUGAACCCACUGGGUGGUUACAUUAGUUUUUCUCCAUUUGCCAGAUCUCCUUGAGUGUGUGAUGACAGUGACCGGGAAUGAAUUCUAGACUCACCUCAUACCACCUUUUUUUAGCUCCAUGGGUGCUAUUGACCCCGAAGACCUUCCAAUGGGACAAAAUGUGGAGGUGGAAGACAGUGAUAUUGAUGAUUCUGACCCUACAUAGGUCUU